GUGCGGCCUGAAAAACAGCGCUGUGCCUUUGUAACGCAUCAUAAUAAUGUACGGCGCAGCUACGAUUUCCCUGGUGUUGGCGCAGUAUUCGCGCACCCCGGUAUAGC
RNAcentral lists this small RNA (107 nucleotides) under Escherichia albertii. RNAcentral's name for it is "ArcZ RNA". It matches the Rfam family "ArcZ RNA". Rfam says of the family: This RNA was discovered in E. coli during a large scale screen. Lineage: Bacteria; Pseudomonadati; Pseudomonadota; Gammaproteobacteria; Enterobacterales; Enterobacteriaceae. The record is from RNAcentral.